GAUGAACGCUGGCGGCGUGCCUAAUACAUGCAAGUCGAGCGAAUGGAUUAAGAGCUUGCUCUUAUGAAGUUAGCGGCGGACGGGUGAGUAACACGUGGGUAACCUGCCCAUAAGACUGGGAUAACUCCGGGAAACCGGGGCUAAUACCGGAUAACAUUUUGAACCGCAUGGUUCGAAAUUGAAAGGCGGCCUCGGCUGUCACUUAUGGAUGGACCCGCGUCGCAUUAGCUAGUUGGUGAGGUACCGGCUCACCAAGGCAACGAUGCGGAGCCGACCUGAGAGGGGGAUCGGCCACACUGGGACUGAGACACGGCCCAGACGCCUACGGGAGGCCGCAGUAGGGAAUCUUCCGCAAUGGACGAAAGUCUGACGGAGCAACGCCGCGUGCGUGAUGAAGGCUUUCGGGUCGUAAAACUCUGUUGUUAGGGAAGAACAAGUGCUAGUUGAAUAAGCUGGCACCUUGACGGUACCUAACCAGAAAGCCACGGCUAACUACGUGCCAGCCGCCGCAGUAA
This 515-nucleotide ribosomal RNA is filed under the name uncultured bacterium. Its description in RNAcentral is "partial 16S ribosomal RNA". It matches the Rfam family "Bacterial small subunit ribosomal RNA", at positions 28 to 523 of the family's 1533-position model. The record is from RNAcentral.